RNAcentral lists this small nuclear RNA (91 nucleotides) under Naja naja (Indian cobra). RNAcentral's name for it is "U2 spliceosomal RNA (ENSNNAG00000015523.1)". It matches the Rfam family "U2 spliceosomal RNA". From Rfam's summary of the family: U2 is a small nuclear RNA (snRNA) component of the spliceosome (involved in pre-mRNA splicing). Complementary binding between U2 snRNA (in an area lying towards the 5' end but 3' to hairpin I) and the branchpoint sequence (BPS) of the intron results the bulging out of an unpaired adenosine, on the BPS, which initiates a nucleophilic attack at the intronic 5' splice site, thus starting the first of two transesterification reactions that mediate splicing. The record is from Rfam by way of RNAcentral. Lineage: Eukaryota; Metazoa; Chordata; Lepidosauria; Squamata; Elapidae.
AUCGCUUCUCGGCCUUUUGGCUAAGAUCAAGUGUAGUAUCUUUGAGUUGACUUUUAGCUAAAGUCAACUUAAAAAUGAUUCAUUACUUUUA